GGGGGUUUGUCCUCCGAGCUGGGGUUGUGCCCGCCGCAGGGGUCCUGAGCACCCCGCUCCCAGGGUUUGAGCACUGGUGCUAUGGGCUGCGGCUGAGGGAGAUGGGAUGGUUCGGUCUGGAGAGGAGGAGGCUCGGGGGAGAGCUCGUUGUGCUCUGCACUCUCUGAAAGGAGGCUGUGGCGAAGUGGGGGUUGGGCUUUUUUUCUCAGGUAACAGCGAUAGGAUGAGAGGGAACGGCCUCAAGUUGUGCCAGGGGAGGUUCAGGUUGGACAUUGGGAAAAAUUCUUCUCCCAAAGUGGUGAUGCAUUGGCAUCAGCAAGGAUGCCCAGUGAGGUGAUGGAGUGACUGGCCCUGGAUGUGUUCAAGAACUGUGUAGAUGUGUCACUGAGGGAUGUGGUCAGUGGGCGCUAUUGGUGGCAGGUGGAUGGUUGAACUAGAUGAUCUUCGUGGUCUUUUCCAACCUUACUGAUUCAAUGACUCACAUCGGCCUUUCUCUCUUACCAGUGGGAAGUAAGGAGGAAGAAUGCUUAGAAGAAAGGCUGAUGGCCUGUUUCCACCAGCAGUGGAGGAAAGAGUGAGGCAGGACUGGGAAGGAUAAAGCUAUUGCUGCCAGCUGGGAGCCAACAGACAGGCUGAGUUUCACGAGCAGCACUGCACCAACUGACAGAUGUCAUGCCCAGGCUGGCCUGCUUUAUGUAAUUUCUGCUCAGCAAUGUCUAGACAUACGUGGGGAUAGAGGCGUGACUGUGUUUAGAAAUGGGACCUGCUGAGUGGGAGUCCCAUGAUGUUGGAAGGCUGAACCAAUGGAAAAUGGCUUGACUUUCUUGAGAAUAAAGCAUAAAGCCCCAGGAGGAAGUAUAUCUUCUGAGGACUUCCCAGCAUCUCGGCUAAUUUUAGACAACAUAAACUGAUCCAGCUGUCAUUGCUGUCUUAACGUCUCAGGUGAUUUAUUUCUCUUUGGAGCUAGAAGAGGGAAAGUUUACCCCGAAACUGAGAAUACUAGCCCAGUGACAAGAAUCAUUGUUUUGGAAAGGAAUCACAAAACUGUAAUGCAGAGGGAAAAGGACCCUCAUGUUAGCAGAGGUAAUGUAGUAGGACCUUCGAGUUUUUUAACUUUGCAAUAAAUUGCAGCCAUAAAAAAGACUCAACUUUUAUAAUAACAGUAUACUUGUUCUUCAGAUUAUCCUUGGAACAAAUAGGGUGUUAGAGCAGACGGAGCUCGGAAUCUUCUUUAUAGUCCCAUCCCUAAAUAUGCCAGUAAAGUGGGAAGCAAGACAUCCAAAAUCUCUUCCAAAUGGCAAUAUCCAAAGGAAAUAUUUGCAGAUUGUUACUAAGUUAAUAAGCUGUAAAUAUUCCUCCUGAAUUUUAAAUUAAUUUUGCAAUCCUAGCUCCACAUUCUGAAGAUAUGGGGGACUUCUUCAGUAAAUGUAUUUGAAGUAAAGCAUCAUUAAUAUGUCAGCUUUGCAAAACAUGAUUUGUUUCACAUGGCUUCAGG
Molecule: long non-coding RNA, 1495 nt
Filed under: Gallus gallus (chicken)
Lineage: Eukaryota; Metazoa; Chordata; Aves; Galliformes; Phasianidae
Description: lncRNA (ENSGALG00010020694.1)
Source: RNAcentral